RNAcentral lists this ribosomal RNA (500 nucleotides) under uncultured cyanobacterium. RNAcentral's name for it is "bacterial SSU rRNA". It matches the Rfam family "Bacterial small subunit ribosomal RNA", at positions 356 to 858 of the family's 1533-position model. Lineage: Bacteria; Bacillati; Cyanobacteriota. The record is from RNAcentral.
GGUGAAUUUUCCGCAAUGGGCGAAAGCCUGACGGAGCAAGACCGCGUGGGGGAAGAAGGCUCUUGGGUUGUAAACCCCUUUUCUCUGGGAAGAAAGUUGUGAAAGCAACCUGACGGUACCAGAGGAAUCAGCAUCGGCUAACUCCGUGCCAGCAGCCGCGGUAAGACGGAGGAUGCAGGCGUUAUCCGGAAUGAUUGGGCGUAAAGCGUCCGCAGGUGGCAGUUCAAGUCUGCUGUCAAAGACCGGGGCUUAACCUCGGAAAGGCAGUGGAAACUGAACAGCUAGAGUAUGGUAGGGGCAAAGGGAAUUCCUGGUGUAGCGGUGAAAUGCGUAGAGAUCAGGAAGAACAUCGGUGGCGAAGGCGCUUUGCUGGACCAUAACUGACACUCAGGGACGAAAGCUAGGGGAGCGAAUGGGAUUAGAUACCCCAGUAGUCCUAGCCGUAAACGAUGGAUACUAGGUGUUGUCUGUAUCGACCCGGACAGUGCCGUAGCUAACGC